This 827-nucleotide long non-coding RNA is filed under the name Anser cygnoides (Swan goose). RNAcentral's name for it is "lncRNA (ENSACDG00005015333.1)". The record is from RNAcentral. Lineage: Eukaryota; Metazoa; Chordata; Aves; Anseriformes; Anatidae.
CGAGCUGUGACCCGCUGCCUCCCUGCCCUGCAGAGCUGGAGCUGCGCUAGCAUCAGGAUAAAGCAGGAUUUUUCUACCAGUAAGGCUGAGAAUGAUAAACAUGGUGCACGUCCGUCGUAUUCUGCAGAUGUUCCCUGUAAAGUUCCUGCGUACAUCCGCAAAGCAUGCUCACCACUUAAAACUGUCUGACUCAAGUCACUGGAGUGGAGGGAGAAAAGUCUGAGAGGAAGAAAAAGCACAGGUCAGCAGCAGCAGCCAGACUGGAAUCUCAAAGCAGAAAACCCAAACCUGUCCUAGCUCCCCAGCAGAAAGCCUCUCUGCAACCAGCCAGUGUGCAAGCAGCUUUGGCGUCCUCUUGCCAAAGCCACCACUACGCAGAAAGGACGAGGUGCCACACUGAAGAGCACAGAGUGUGACAGCCAACAGCUGUGAAUAUAAACAGAGAGCACUUCAAGAAAAUAAGCACCUGCCUCAAGGCUGCUGUGUGCCCUUCUAAUGACAGAAGGAUGUGGUGCAGCCCUGGGGCACUGCAAAAAGAGGACUCGUGGGCACAGCUAAUUGUAAAAUUAAGGAAGGAGGAGCAGGAAGAGCUCAGAGGGAGACAGUGGAACAGCUUCAUCCAUCUGCCCAGUUCCUACUUGCCACAGGGGGAAAGUGCCCUUUCUGGGUGGCUGACCAACCCCAAAUCGCCUCGGGAUUGCCUAAGAGAAGGAGCACAAGGCAGCGAAGCCUCAAGCAGCGUGGGCUGGGAGCUGACAUCAGGUGACAACAAGAACACCGUCCCUGCUGCUAAGAGUUGUGCAGUGUGCCUUCCCACGUGGUGGUAG